This 149-nucleotide unclassified non-coding RNA is filed under the name soil metagenome. RNAcentral describes it as "partial internal transcribed spacer 1". The record is from RNAcentral.
CCGAGUUAUAACUCUCUAAAACCCAUUGUGAACGACUACCACUGUUGCUUCGGCGGAUCAGCCGCUCCGGUAACGGACGGCCCGCCAGAGGAACCCUAAACUCUUGUUAUUAUAUGUUAACUUCUGAGUAAACCUAUUAAAUAAGUCAA